UGGGGGAUAUUGCACAAUGGAGGAAACUCUGAUGCAGCAACGCCGCGUGAGGGAAGACGGUUUUCGGAUUGUAAACCUCUGUCCUUGGUGAAGAUAAUGACGGUAGCCAAGGAGGAAGCUCCGGCUAACUACGUGCCAGCAGCCGCGGUAAUACGUAGGGAGCAAGCGUUGUCCGGAUUUACUGGGUGUAAAGGGUGCGUAGGCGGCUUUACAAGUCAGGCGUGAAAUAUAUGGGCUUAACCCAUAGACUGCGUUUGAAACUGUAGAGCUUGAGUGAAGUAGAGGUAGGCGGAAUUCCCGGUGUAGCGGUGAAAUGCGUAGAGAUCGGGAGGAACACCAGUGGCGAAGGCGGCCUACUGGGCUUUAACUGACGCUGAGGCACGAA
Molecule: ribosomal RNA, 385 nt
Filed under: uncultured bacterium
Lineage: Bacteria
Description: bacterial SSU rRNA
Rfam family: Bacterial small subunit ribosomal RNA
Source: RNAcentral